This 495-nucleotide ribosomal RNA is filed under the name uncultured bacterium. RNAcentral's name for it is "partial 16S ribosomal RNA". It matches the Rfam family "Bacterial small subunit ribosomal RNA", at positions 28 to 507 of the family's 1533-position model. The record is from RNAcentral.
GACGAACGCUGGCGGCGUGCCUAAUACAUGCAAGUAGAACGCUGAAGGCGGAGCUUGCUUCUCUGGAUGAGUUGCGAACGGGUGAGUAACGCGUAGGUAACCUGCCUGUUAGUGGGGGAUAACUAUUGGAAACGAUAGCUAAUACCGCAUAAUAGCAGUUGUUGCAUGAUAACUGUUUGAAAGGUUCAUUUGCUCCGCUACCAGAUGGUCCUGCGUUGUAUUAGCUAGUUGGUGGGGUAACGGCUCACCAAGGCGACGAUACAUAGCCGACCUGGGAGGGGGAUCGGCCAAACUGGGAAGGAGACACGGCACAGAAGGCUACGGGAGGCAGCAGUAGGGAAACGGCGGCAAUGGACGGAAGACAGACCGAGAAACGCCGCGGGAGUGAAGAAGGUUGUCGGAUCGUAAAGCACUGUUGUAAGAGAAGAAAGAGAGUGAGAGUGGAAAGUUCACAGUGUGACGGUAACUUACAAGAAAGGGACGGCUAACUACGUG